RNAcentral lists this ribosomal RNA (460 nucleotides) under uncultured bacterium. RNAcentral's name for it is "bacterial SSU rRNA". It matches the Rfam family "Bacterial small subunit ribosomal RNA", at positions 340 to 783 of the family's 1533-position model. The record is from RNAcentral.
UACGGGAGGCAGCAGUGGGGAAUAUUGGACAAUGGGCGCAAGCCUGAUCCAGCCAUGCCGCGUGUGUGAAGAAGGCCUUUUUGGUUGUAAAGCACUUUAAGCGAGGAGGAGGCUACUGGUAUUAAUACUACCGGAUAGUGGACGUUACUCGCAGAAUAAGCACCGGCUAACUCUGUGCCAGCAGCCGCGGUAAUACAGAGGGUGCGAGCGUUAAUCGGAUUUUACUGGGCGUAAAGCGUGCGUAGGCGGCUUUUUUAAGUCGGAUGUGAAAAUCCCUGAGCUUAACUUAGGAAUUGCAUUCGAUACUGGGAAGCUAGAGUAUGGGAGAGGAUGGUAGAAUUCCAGGUGUAGCGGUGAAAUGCGUAGAGAUCUGGAGGAAUACCGAUGGGCGAAGGCAGCCAUCUGGGCCUAAAUACUGACGCUGAGGGUACAAAGCAUGGGGAGGCAAACAGGAUUAGAU